GGGAGAAGGAAUGUAAAGGGCUGGUGGCUGAAAAGGAGUGAAAUGGCCCCUCUUAGAGAUGAAGAAAUUUACGGAAUGGCUUGGGAAUGAGAAGAUUCAGGUGGGACCAUGGAAGCAAAGCUUGUUCUUUUGUGGAUGCACACCUGGGGAGUACAUCUGUGCAUUUAUCCUCUGUUCACAGCUGAGGCAACUGAGACUGAAACAGGCAAAGUGGUUUGUCCAAGAGCAAAGCCAGGGGCAGGGUGAGAAAUUGUUCAUUCAUUCAAUCAUGCAUCUAUUCUUGGCAAGGCACCAAAGUCUGUGUGGUGGUGGUGCACAGAGAUGGAUAUUGUCUAUGUGGCCUCUACCUUGCAAGAGCCUGCAGUCUCUGAGACAAUAAGCGGUUCAUGAAUUAUGCCUCCUAGAGUGCUCAGACAGCAAGGACCAGGGUUCAGAGGAGGAGAGGGUGAGAGUUCCCUAGGAUUCCUGGAGAGAGUUGGAUUCAGGGCCCAUGAGGGAUGGGUAGAAUUUUGGCAAAUGGAAGUGUGGCUAGUGGGAAUGACAGACAUGAAGGUGGGCAAAUUUAAGAUGUUUUGGAGAAUAUCUGACUACAGCAGGGCCGUUGUGGGGAAAGGGCAGGAGAGUAGAAAGGAGCGGGUUUCCCAGGAUGCUGAAUGCCCAGCCAAAAUACAUGGAUGAAUCCAUGAAUACAUGGAUUUCAGCCCAAGGGCAAUGGGGGUUGGACUUAUCUCUGACUUCUCGUAUUCACUCAUUAUUCUAACAUGUGCUGUACCUAGUGCUAAUAUGUGCUUAGUCUACAGGUAUUUUUCCACACAUCAGCUUUUCUAACCUUCGCGUCACUCUAAUGAGAUACAUAUUAUUCCUCCUUUAAUGGAUUAAAAAAUUGAUGCACUUAGAGGUUGAGACUUGCCUACGAUCAUGUAGCUAAUAACUGACAUAUGUGAGAUUUGAAAGUAGGAUUCCUGACUUCUACAUGGCGACAAAUGGAAAGAACGAGUGUAGAUUCUGGAGAGUGUACUCAGGAUGCCCAUCAAUAACAUGCCCCUCACCUUAGCUCAGUGUUGUUCCAGAAAAAAUAACUACAUAGGAGUGAAAUCUUUUUUUUUUUCUUUUGAGACAGGGUCUCACUCUGUUGCCC
This 1138-nucleotide long non-coding RNA is filed under the name Homo sapiens (human). RNAcentral describes it as "HSALNT0329333". Lineage: Eukaryota; Metazoa; Chordata; Mammalia; Primates; Hominidae. The record is from RNAcentral.